RNAcentral lists this ribosomal RNA (477 nucleotides) under Echinodera andalusiensis. RNAcentral's name for it is "eukaryotic LSU rRNA". It matches the Rfam family "Eukaryotic large subunit ribosomal RNA", at positions 1340 to 1663 of the family's 3401-position model. The record is from RNAcentral. Lineage: Eukaryota; Metazoa; Arthropoda; Insecta; Coleoptera; Curculionidae.
GCUUAUACUCGACCGUCAGCGGCACGUGCGAUCGCGCGAACUUUCACGAGCGAGCGCGGUCACGAAGCCCUGACGAGUAGGAGGGUCGCGGCGGUGAGCGCAGAAGGGCUGGCCGCGAGGCCGUCUGGAGCCGCCGUCGGUGCAGAUCUUGGUGGUAGUAGCAAAUACUCCAGCGAGGCCCUGGAGGACUGACGUGGAGAAGGGUUUCGUGUGAACAGCCGUUGCACACGAGUCAGUCGAUCCUAAGCCCUAGGCGAAAGCCGAUGUCGAUGCGGUGUAGUUUUUACGAUAAAUAGAUAGAUAGAUAGACGAAAUUCGACGACUACGACGAAAGAAACAUUAAUUCGUCGUCUAGUCGUUGUUGUCGUCGUCGUCGUCAUAAGUCUAAUUAAUAACGCGAGAGCACACACCCGUCGGGCGAAAGGGAAUCCGGUUCCUAUUCCGGAACCUGGCAGCGGAACCGUCAAAAAGUCGGGC